RNAcentral lists this ribosomal RNA (253 nucleotides) under uncultured bacterium. Its description in RNAcentral is "partial 16S ribosomal RNA". It matches the Rfam family "Bacterial small subunit ribosomal RNA", at positions 524 to 776 of the family's 1533-position model. The record is from RNAcentral.
UACGGAGGGUGCAAGCGUUAAUCGGAAUUACUGGGCGUAAAGCGCGCGUAGGCGGUCUGUUAAGCUGGAUGUGAAAGCCCAGGGCUCAACCUUGGAACUGCAUUCAGAACUGGCAGACUAGAGUAUUGGAGAGGUGAGUGGAAUUUCCCGUGUAGCAGUGAAAUGCGUAGAUAUGGGAAGGAACACCAGUGGCGAAGGCGGCCUCCUGGAUCUGUACUGACACUGAGGUGCGAAAGCGUGGGUAGCGAACAGG